UGCAAGUCUGGAUUUAAUAUAAAGUCACUGGCCCACAUAUCUUUCCAGUGUUGAUCAAUAUCUGUGAACGUUAGUGUUAAAAGCAGACAGACUCAGUAGAACUGCAACUGAUGAAGAUGUUCAACCUAGCUGCAAAGAUCUGCAUAGGGAGCUCCUAAGCUCUGAUUUGAUAGACUCCUCCUCCUGACAUGAUGGAAUCACAAUACAGGCAAAGGACAUGCCGUGGACCACCUGAAUGAAGCUCAAGGACCACUGUUUGGGAACCCGACUUAAAAAAUAAUCAUACUGACCAGUUAACAGAGUACUUUUAAACAAAUUCACUUAUGCCACAUGUAAAAACUAAACAACAAAAACCUUAGAGAGAAAUCUAGGGCUUCUGCCUAUCAAAAAUGCCUUUAUACACCACUUUGAAAAUCAAAACUGGCUACAAACCAUAAAACACACAGUAUGAAAAUGGACCAAAAUGAAGUCCCCAAGCACCAUGUUCCGACUUUACACACUGCAGGCCAAAUGAACUGUGACAGCAACCUGGAGUUCCAACCUUCUUCUGUGACUUGCUUCUAAUACCAUCAUAUUUCAGUUUGAAUUAUUAUUCCUCUUAGUCAAUGUAUGUGUUAAAUACUGCAUAAUUAUCUUUUUUAACAGAUAUACACUUAUUAAAAAAUCUUAAA
Long non-coding RNA from Rhineura floridana, 671 nucleotides. RefSeq lists it as uncharacterized. Lineage: Eukaryota; Metazoa; Chordata; Lepidosauria; Squamata; Rhineuridae. The record is from RefSeq and is a predicted model, not a curated record. The transcript is spliced from 3 exons.